This 1908-nucleotide long non-coding RNA is filed under the name Anas platyrhynchos platyrhynchos (common mallard). RNAcentral's name for it is "lncRNA (ENSAPLG00000026946.1)". The record is from RNAcentral. Lineage: Eukaryota; Metazoa; Chordata; Aves; Anseriformes; Anatidae.
CAGGUAUCAUAUUUUGGCAGGAUGAUUUGGAGAGGAAAUUCAUCUUGAGAUGAUUCUUGGGAUGGGCUUCCUCAUGCCAGCUUAUUAUGUCUCAAUUUGAACUAGUCAUCCUGAACUCUAGAGACAAAAGAGAGAAAGAAGCAUUUUAAAACAGGAGAACUCCAUUUUAAGUGUUUAUUUUAGCAUGAGGGGAAUUCUACUCUGGAAACUCCUAUUUAUCUUAUUUGUUGGUAAAGAGAACCAAGGACAACUACCACAGCUGUGGAUGCCCACAGCACAUACCAUUUGUGUGAACAGUCGCACCUGAACAGCAUGUUUUAUUUCUUGUCCCCUUGCUUGUUCCCAAGGACAGAUAGGUCCUAGUCUAUUCUUCCCAUUCAUCUCUUCCUCCUUGAUUGAUUUGUUGCUGAGAGCAACAGAAGCUUGAAGUUCAGUAGAUAUUUCCCACUAUUCAGAUUUUUCUCACAUGUCCAGUAGAUGGUAUCUCCAUUUUGAUAUGUGAAAAAUUUCUUGUUUUCCCAUUUGCUAUAGAGCUUCACUUUCAGGAAUGUGUCCCUGAAAUGCUGUUCCUUUCUAGGUUUGUUUUUUUCCCUCCUUUUCCAGAGAGGGCAGUAUGUGCUGGUGAGGCUGUGACAUCUGAUUAACUUCUGUUAUCAGGAUGCUUUCUUUAUUCCCGCAGCUGCAUUCACUGGGAACAAGGAAAUUGGCAAUGAGCUCAGAAGGUGCACGGGAGGCAACCCAAUUCCCACUGCAGCUGCAAAGGGACUUUGGGAAAAUUCCUGCAAGACACAUUGCAAUGGACUUCAUUAUUCAGAAGGAAGAUGUACAUCUCCUGAACCACAAGCAGAGUUGCUGCUCUCCUGGAGUCCUGCAUAACUUGGAACCUUAGGGUAAGAACAUGAAAGAAUGAACAACCACAAUGGAGAUAAUUUUCUGAAGAAAGCAGCAUGACUCUCGUGAAGUUAUGGACAUUCAUUUGCAGGAGCCUUAUUACCUGAUGUAAGCCAUUGUUAUCCUACUUCCUUCAAAGGUGCAUUAGUAGCUUACUUCAUUUUCACCAUCAGCUUAGAACUGCUCGUUGUUCACCACCGCUGCUGGAAAUACACACACUUCCCAAUGUCCAGACUUUUUAUGUACAAAGGUAAGUAUAUAAUGAAAACUAGAAGUUUAAAGAACAAUUAUCAACAAGAGAAAUUACAAAUUUGGCUAUUUUGAGUGUUCCAUCCAAAUGCUUAUUCAACAAUGUUUUUGUUCUUCCCCUCAAGUCUCCCUCCCCUUACACAUGUAUGUUGUGUGUGCCCUGCCCAAUAGCAUUGAAAACUGCAAACUCUUGACAGUCUGAGGGCUGACAGAGGGGGCAUCUGUUGUAUGUCGCAGCUUUUUUUUGAUGCCUGGUGAUAAUGUUGAUACAGAUACUUUGAUCUUUAAGCAGUUUGACUUCAUGGAAGAGAUUCUGACUGUGUGGAUGUCUAAAUAAGUUCCCUCAGCUCAUAAAUCUAAAUAAUUCUCAAACUCUCCUACUGGUUUUAUGAUCUCCUAAAUUAUACAGUCUGAAGUAUUUUUCAACUGUUCCACAUUUCUAGCCAAGUCUUUGGAGAUGGUGAAAACUGAGCCUUUAGUGUCCUGUUUCUAUUGCAGGAAGGGCACAAGCAGCUUUUGUAGGUCUGGGCAGAUGAAGAUGGUUUCCACCUGCUUUGUUCUUGGGCAGAUGUUUGUCAGGUUUAGAACCCAUUCUUCUUUUAUGCUUUUAUUAAAAACCUCUCCUCCACACAGGUAGAAGGGAAGGUAGGAAAAUGAAGCCUACUUGUGCUCUUGUUGAUAUCUUUUCAAGGUUGAUUUGAAUAAGGGACAGACUUUGUUGUUGUUGUUAUCACUGGAAUGCAAUAAUAAAAAAAAAUCAUUCUGAAC